Molecule: ribosomal RNA, 1244 nt
Filed under: Genea gardneri
Lineage: Eukaryota; Fungi; Ascomycota; Pezizomycetes; Pezizales; Pyronemataceae
Description: eukaryotic LSU rRNA
Rfam family: Eukaryotic large subunit ribosomal RNA (bases 628-1244)
Source: RNAcentral
AGGAUCAUUAUCAUGUAACUCAGUCAUGCACGCUGCGUGAGNNNGUUAGCUAUACACCCACCCUGCGUACGUCCUCCUGUNNNNNCCCGUCCGGUGCCUGCGCCCGGGCGGGAGGGGCAAAACAACCUCCAAAUUUUUCUUACUGCCGAAUCUGUCUGAACGAAUUGAACGAAUGAAAAAGUUAAAACUUUCAGCAACGGAUCUCUUGGUUCUCGCAUCGAUGAAGAACGCAGCGAAAUGCGAUAAGUAGUGUGAAUUGCAGAAUUCAGUGAAUCAUCGAAUCUUUGAACGCACAUUGCGCCUUCUGGUAUUCCGGGAGGCAUGCCUGUUCGAGAGUCAUUGACAACCAUCCCAAAUCCCCCCCUUUUCCCUCCUUGAGGGUUUCGGGUGCGAUCUCGGGUUCUGGUGGAUGAGGAAUGCGUUGCCCCGGCAGAUCUCUCCUCUCCUCCCAAAUUCAUGGGCGGUCGCCGGCUUUUAUAGAGAGGAAAACCCCCGCAACGCCUGCUGCGUUUUAAUGUAUUUCGCCCUUGCUGCGUUGCGGGAGCUUUCGGGGCCACGGACGACCAGCCUACCCAGUGAAAUAAGAAUAAUCCCCAGUUGUUUUUAUGUAACCUAAAUCUCAAAGGUUGACCUCGGAUCAGGUAGGGAUACCCGCUGAACUUAAGCAUAUCAAUAAGCGGAGGAAAAGAAACCAACCGGGAUUGCCUCAGUAACUGCGAGUGAAGUGGCAAAAGCUCAAAUUUGAAAUCCGGUACCUUUGGUGCCUGACUUGUAAUUUGGAGAGACAAAUUUGGUUGGCGGCGCCGGCCUAGGUUCCUUUGAACAGGACAACAUAGAGGGUGAGAAUCCCGUGCCUGGUUGGACGGCCGUCACAUCGCUAGAUUGUCUUCGACGAGUCGAGUUGUUUGGGAAUGCAGCUCAAAAUGGGUGGUAAAUGUCAUCUAAAGCUAAAUAUUGGCGAGAGACCGAUAGCGCACAAGUAGAGUGAUCGAAAGAUGAAAAGCACUUUGAAAAGAGAGUCAAAAAGUACGUGAAAUUGCUGAAAGGGAAGCGCUUGAGACCAGACUCGAACCGUGGCGAUCGCCCGCGCUUCUGCGCAGGUGUCACUUGCCACGGUUUGGGCCAGCAUCGGUUCUGGCGGCCGGAUAAAANGUGGGGGAAUGUAGCUUCCUUCGGGGAGUGUUAAUUAGCCCNACGACCAGAAUGCGGCCAGCCGGGACCGAGGGAUAUCGCGCUCGCUGAAG